GAUGAGCCCGCGUUGGAUUAGCUAGUUGGUGGGGUAAAGGCCUACCAAGGCGACGAUCCAUAGCUGGUCUGAGAGGAUGAUCAGCCACAUUGGGACUGAGACACGGCCCAAACUCCUACGGGAGGCAGCAGUGGGGAAUAUUGGACAAUGGGCGCAAGCCUGAUCCAGCCAUGCCGCGUGAGUGAUGAAGGUCUUAGGAUUGUAAAGCUCUUUCACCGGGGACGAUAAUGACGGUACCCGGAGAAGAAGCCCCGGCUAACUUCGUGCCAGCAGCCGCGGUAAUACGAAGGGGGCUAGCGUUGUUCGGAAUUACUGGGCGUAAAGCGCACGUAGGCGGAUAUUUAAGUCAGGGGUGAAAUCCCGGGGCUCAACCCCGGAACUGCCUUUGAUACUGGGUAUCUUGAGUGUGGUAGAGGUGAGUGGAAUUGCGAGUGUAGAGGUGAAAUUCGUAGAUAUUCGCAGGAACACCAGUGGCGAAGGCGGCUCACUGGACCACAACUGACGCUGAGGUGCGAAAGCGUGGGGAGCAAACAGGACUAGAUACCCUGGUAGUCCACGCC
Molecule: ribosomal RNA, 560 nt
Filed under: uncultured bacterium
Lineage: Bacteria
Description: bacterial SSU rRNA
Rfam family: Bacterial small subunit ribosomal RNA
Source: RNAcentral